Molecule: ribosomal RNA, 468 nt
Filed under: uncultured bacterium
Lineage: Bacteria
Description: partial 16S ribosomal RNA
Rfam family: Bacterial small subunit ribosomal RNA
Source: RNAcentral
GACGAAUGCUGGCGGCGUGCUUAACACAUGCCAGUCGAACGGAAAGGCCCUGCUUUUGUGGGGUGCUCGAGUGGCGAACGGGUGAGUAACACGAGAGUAACCUGCCCUUGACUUUGGGAUAACUCCAGGAAACUGGGGCUACUACCGGAUAGGAGCUCCUGCUGCAUGGUGGGGGUUGGAAAGUUUCGGCGGUUGGGGAUGGAUUCGCGGCUUAUCAGCUUGUUGGUGGGGUAGUGGCUGACCAAGGCUGUGACGGGUAGCCGGCCUGAGAGGGUGACCGGCCACAUUGGGACUGAGAUACGGCCCAGACGCCUACGGGAGGCAGCAGGGGGGAAUAUUGCACAAUGGGCGGAAGCCGGAUGCAGCAACGCCGCGUGCGGGAUGACGGCCUUCGGGGUGUAAACCGCUUUCGCCUGUGACGAAGCGGGAGUGACGGUAAUGGGUAAAGAAGCACCGGCUAACUACGUG